RNAcentral lists this ribosomal RNA (460 nucleotides) under uncultured bacterium. RNAcentral's name for it is "partial 16S ribosomal RNA". It matches the Rfam family "Bacterial small subunit ribosomal RNA", at positions 338 to 795 of the family's 1533-position model. The record is from RNAcentral.
CCUACGGGUGGCAGCAGUGAGGAAUAUUGGUCAAUGGGCGGAAGCCUGAACCAGCCAAGUAGCGUGCAGGAUGACGGCCCUACGGGUUGUAAACUGCUUUUAUACGGGAAUAACGCGCCUUACGUGUACGGCUUUGCAUGUACCUUAUGAAUAAGGACCGGCUAAUUCCGUGCCAGCAGCCGCGGUAAUACGGAAGGUCCGGGCGUUAUCCGGAUUUAUUGGGUUUAAAGGGAGCGUAGGCAGCCUGUCAAGCGUGCUGUGAAAUGUCCGGGCUCAACCCGGGCCUUGCAGCGCGAACUGGCAGGCUUGAGUCGGAGGAAAGCAGGCGGAAUUCGUCGUGUAGCGGUGAAAUGCUUAGAUAUGGCGAAGAACCCCGAGUGCGAAGGCAGCUUGCUGCAGCGGAACUGACGCUGAGGCUCGAAAGCGCGGGUAUCGAACAGGAUUAGAUACCCGGGUAGUC